Molecule: transfer RNA, 72 nt
Filed under: Aquimarina sp. RZ0
Lineage: Bacteria; Pseudomonadati; Bacteroidota; Flavobacteriia; Flavobacteriales; Flavobacteriaceae
Rfam family: tRNA
About the family: Transfer RNA (tRNA) molecules are approximately 80 nucleotides in length. Their secondary structure includes four short double-helical elements and three loops (D, anti-codon, and T loops).
Source: Rfam by way of RNAcentral
GGUGUCGUGGCCGAGUUGGUUAGGCGGUGGUUUGCAAGAUCACACACAGUAGUUCGAGUCUACUCGACACCU